AGAAGAACUGCUCAAACCUGUGGUAUUUACUCCAUUACUCCACUCCUUUGUUAUUCUUGGGAAUAUUAUAAAAUUCUAGAAUAUGGCAAUAGUCUUUCAUGUGCUUGAGUCCCAACUCCUAAGUGUGCUUCGUGUCCUAAGGCAUUAAGUUCCAGUUGAUUAUAUUUAUUUCUACUUGUUAUGACUGUUUGAAGAGCAAAAACAUCAUGAAAAUUCUAGGCACCAUGUGGUUAAACUUGUGGAAAAUCUGCUUGCUACUUUAUUGUCUGAGAACGAGUCUAGCCGUGUAGGAACAACUUUGUAGGCAAUAACUUCCACGGAAGUUAUGUGUUUAUUAUUAAGGUGGGUUUUCAGUUAAUGUUUCAGUCAAUUAAGUGCCAGCAUCUGUUGCUCUGUAUAAAUGGAGAACAAAAGCAUUCAGUCCCAGACGUGCUAAUUGUUCUGUAAAACAUUUCCCUUUUUGAGCCACAAGACAAAAACAUUGUAUGGUCUGUAGAACUAUUAUAAUUACAAGUCGUUUGAAGAGUUUAUUCUUUCUAGAAUUUUUUUGCAAGCGCUCCUUUAAAGUUUCAGCCAAAACAUUAGUUGGGUGAAAUGAGGAGCAGUUCACAAGUCGACUUGCUUCGGUUUGAGUGAAGUAAUGAUUCAUUUUCCAAGCCUUUGUUCAUGGCUCAUGCAUUCCAUCCUUCAUGCCAUAUUUACUACUAUACAUGGUGGGAUUUGAUGGGAAAUCAGCGUUUCAAUUUUUAUUCUCUUGGGUAAAUUGCCUUUUUCCAUAUGCAGGAUGAGUCACAAGAUUUUAUCAAGAGGCAGCAAUUGCGGGAACUAGCCAUGCUUAAUUCAAAUUACCGAGAAGAGAGUCCUGGACCAAGUGGUAGUGUCUCUCCUUUCAAUACUAGUGGAAUGAAACGCGCAAAAACAGGACGCUGAGAGAUCAUAUUCAUGCCUACUUCAGCAUGUAUUGGCAUUCAUCCUGCUACAGAAUUUCAUGGUUGAGUAUAGCUUCCAAUACAUGUCAAUUCAGCACAUCUACAAAGAAUAGGCUAACAGUUAUUGCUGGUGAGCUUUCUGGUGGGGGUUUUCCUUUAUUUUUGUAUUUUUUUCCUCCCAAUAUAAAAGACAAAAAAGCAUUAUUUAAAAAAAAGGAAUUAUUUAGCUAGUUCUUGAGUUUAGGCUUGCUGAGGUCAGUUCUUAUUUUCCCCACCUUCAAUGUAAACUGUAAUAUAUUCAUUGGAUUUAUUCUUGUUGUAGAAACUUGGAAGAGUGUGAAAUAUAUCAAUGUUGUAAGGGGCUAGGUAUUAAAGACAAUUGAGUCCUGAGUUUGGUAGUUGUCAUCAUUUUUCAUAGUGAUUUAAAAAAAAAAAAAAACUUUUUGGAACCUUAAAAAUCAUUGAUUUCAGUCCAUAUGCUGAAGCAGAACUUCCACCAAAUAAGCUUUCAUCAAGAGACCAGAUUAAGGGGAAAAAAAAUAAAGCCCUAAGGUUUCCAAAGACUUUCACCCCCUUACAAGAAGAGUAAUUAAGAUCAAUCAUAACAGAAUUGCCUUGGUUUUGUCAAAGGUGUGUACCCGUGUGCGUGUGUACUUAAC
Molecule: unclassified non-coding RNA, 1588 nt
Filed under: Hevea brasiliensis (rubber tree)
Lineage: Eukaryota; Viridiplantae; Streptophyta; Magnoliopsida; Malpighiales; Euphorbiaceae
Source: RNAcentral